Molecule: long non-coding RNA, 1247 nt
Filed under: Androctonus crassicauda
Lineage: Eukaryota; Metazoa; Arthropoda; Arachnida; Scorpiones; Buthidae
Source: RNAcentral
CUUUAUGAAAAUAAACCAUAAUACUAUAUUUCUUUUCUAAUUUAUAAAUACAGUAGUUGCUUGUUUAACAAGCGAAAAUAGUAUUUGAAAAGAUUUCCUUUCAAUAUCUUGUAUGCACUUCUUUCUUUCGUUUCUUUUACCUUGCGACAAAGAAAAGAAUUCUAUCAUGCUAUUCUGUUCGGUUAGAACAAUUUACAGCAUUACAACAAUGCACAUUGUUAAAAAUAACCAGAAAGCCUAUAAGCGGGCAACGUUAAUGCCCUAUCUCACAGGAAAUAAAAUGGCAUCUAAUAGCGGAGAGGAAUGCUCUUCUCUAUAUAUCUAAGGCCUCUAAAACAAGAGAAUAAUAUGUAGAUAAUCUGUAUAAUCUUACAAUUAUUAAGAAAUUAUUUUUAAGUUUUGUAAUAAAUGAUAGAAACGUAUAAAAUCUUAUGCCUAAAAGUAAUAGCUUUUAAAAUCGGGUAUAUCCAGAUUGCUCGGCUUGUAUUAUUAUAUCAUAUAAAUUUCAGUUUGUAUGUAGAUUUCUUUGUUUCAGUCAUCUCUUAAGCAAUGAAAGCUACAGUCGCCAUACUUGGCCGAGUUCAUUCUGAUUAACGACUAAAAUCGUUAAGAUAUUCAAUAGAUUUUUGAGAAUAAGCAUAGAACAACGAUUUAUUAUAAUAAUUUAAUUUUCUAAACGGUAUGAAUGUGUAAUAGCCCCAUCUCUUUAUGACAGUUCGACAAAAAUACAUUGGGAUAUACAAUAUUUCAGAAAGAGACGAAAUUUAACAAUCACAAAGGCGACGAUGUACCAAAAUUCUUCAUCCUAGACAGUUUACUUUCUGGUGAUUUACCUUAAUUAUUUCAUGUUAGUAUUUCGUAAAACAGAUGGCAUGUUUCCUUAAUCUCAUGUAUAUGUAGUUUCAGAAAUAUUAAAUUAUAAUUACUGACAAAAUUUUACACUUAACCAUAGGCAUACGAUGGGUACCCUUAACCAGUUCUUUAAGCCUCUCUUUUUAACCAGCUAUUUGCCAGUAUGUAUGGCUAACUACACUAGGGUUGUAUGAAAGGAUGUAAAUUUUUAUGACUUUCAAUCAUUUCCAAUACAAAUCAUAUUUAAAAACAACCACAAGAAAAGUAAAAUAAAAAUAGCGAACUAAAACAAUAAUUUAAUUAAUCAAAUUUUCUAUAUAUCGAUAUAUAUAUAUAUAGAUAUUUUUAUUAUUAUUAUUUUUAUCAUUUCCACUUCGACAAUUAACGAUAAUUCU